UGGGGAAUUUUCCGUAAUGGGCGAAAGCCUGACGGAGCAAUGCCGCGUGGAGGUGGAAGGCCUACGGGUCGUCAACUUCUUUUCUCGGAGAAGAAACAAUGACGGUAUCUGAGGAAUAAGCAUCGGCUAACUCUGUGCCAG
Molecule: ribosomal RNA, 141 nt
Filed under: uncultured bacterium
Lineage: Bacteria
Description: partial 16S rRNA
Rfam family: Bacterial small subunit ribosomal RNA
Source: RNAcentral